RNAcentral lists this ribosomal RNA (253 nucleotides) under uncultured bacterium. Its description in RNAcentral is "partial 16S ribosomal RNA". It matches the Rfam family "Bacterial small subunit ribosomal RNA", at positions 524 to 776 of the family's 1533-position model. The record is from RNAcentral.
UACGUAGGGGGCAAGCGUUGUCCGGAUUUAUUGGGCGCAAAGAGCGUGUAGGCGGUUAGGUAGGUCCGUUCUGAAAACUCGAGGCUCAACCUCGAGACGCGGAUGGAAACCAUCUAACUAGAGUCCGGAAGAGGAGAGUGGAAUUCCUGGUGUAGCGGUGAAAUGCGCAGAUAUCAGGAAGAACACCCGUGGCUAAGGCGGCUCUCUAGUACGGUACUGACGCUGAGACGCGAAAGCGUGGGGAGCGAACAGG